Molecule: ribosomal RNA, 441 nt
Filed under: uncultured bacterium
Lineage: Bacteria
Description: partial 16S ribosomal RNA
Rfam family: Bacterial small subunit ribosomal RNA
Source: RNAcentral
CCUACGGGAGGCAGCAGUGGGGGAUAUUGCACAAUGGGGGGAACCCUGAUGCAGCGACGCCGCGUGGGUGAAGGAGUGCUUCGGCAUGUAAAGCCCUAUCGGCAGGGAAGAAGCAAGACGGUACCUGACUAAGAAGCCUCGGCAAACUACGUGCCAGCAGCCGCGGUAAUACGUAGGGGGCGAGCGUUAUCCGGAUUCACUGGGUGUAAAGGGAGCGUAGGCGGCCAUGCAAGCCAGGGGUGAAAGCCCGGGGCCCAACCCCGGGACUGCCCUUGGAACUGUGCGGCUAGAGUGCGGGAGGGGCAGGCGGAAUUCCUGGUGUAGCGGUGAAAUGCGUAGAUAUCAGGAGGAACACCGGCGGCGAAGGCAGCCUGCUGGACUGCGACUGACGUUGAGGCUCGAAAGCGUGGGGAGCGAACAGGAUUAGAUACCCCGGUAGUC